GAGGUGUGUUAUAGUUGGAGCGUAUCUGUUGAUUUUUACUCAUUUCAAAAUACCCUUUUCUUUCUAUCAAAAAAAAAAAACCCUUUUCUUCCGCUUUCCGUAGGAGAAAUGAGAGGCCUUCACUGCAUAGAAGGAAGAGAUAGGGACUCAAAGGGUCUUCUUGGCGAAGGCCCCGGUGUGGUUUAAAUUGUUGUCCUGCUUCACCAUUAACAAUUAUUGAGUAUGAGACUGAUGAGACGCAUCGGUUGAUUAUGUUUAUCCAUCUUCUGUCGAAACCUAGCUUUUCCAUUACAAGCCAUACAUAAGGCCAUUCAACCCGAUCAUAGGCCAUUAUAUUACAAACCGAGAAGGAGAGAAGAUCCUUCAUUACCUGAAAACUAUGCGACCCCAUCAGCUGCUUGAGCAAAUGGUUUGUACUGCCUUCAGAGCAUCAGCUGACACUCUAAGCCAGACAAAUUUUGGAAGCUUGAAGCAGAUGAACAUGAAAACGGACCAACUCUACCGACUAUGGCAUCUACGUUAAGGACUAUGCAAGAUCCUUCAUUACCUGAAAACUAUGCGACCCCACCAGCUGCUUGAGCAAAUGGUUUGUACUGCCUUCAGAGCAUCAGCUGACACUCUAAGCCGGACAAAUUUUGGAAGCUUGAAGCAGAUGAACAUGAAAACGGACCAACUCUACCUGACUAUGGCAUCUACGUUAAGGAUUAUGCAAGUCAACCUAUCAUCUAAUGUCAGUAAGACAAUUGAAGACCUCUGUCAGCUUUGUGUCAUUUUUGAACAUGUUGAGAAGUUGUUAACACUUGCAGCUUCUCUUCAUCGUAAAUUUAGACAAGAACCACGUAUCGCACAUGCCAUUUUCAGUUACUUCUAAUACUUUAACCUUCCAACCAUGGAAACAGGUUCUGUGGAUGUAGUUACUGAGAAGGAAUUUGUCAUGAAGUUGCAACUCAGGAUGAGAGACAAGUUGUGUCGAGACUCGGAUGAUUUUAUUCAGAAGCAUAAAACUGAAAUCAAAUGGCCCACCGUGAAUCAGUCGUGGAGAAAAGUUUUAAGCAUGGGCAAUCAUCUUAAUGGCCAUGAACCGAUUAUCAGGGAGAUCAUCUUUAGAAUGUCUGAUAACGCCAGUGGCAAUCAAUACACAACCAGCAGCCCCAGGGUUUAUAAACACGAAAUAGAAACAUAUCAGAUUUAUACACGUGGAACCUCAAAUGAUCUUCGGGUAGCACUUGCUAUCACAACAUAUGAUUAAAUUCCAUUUCAAAUAAUGUAUUUACAAUAAAUUGAUUCGUAGUUUUAUUCAUUUUAUGGUUUUUUUUUACUAAAUAAACUGAGUUUUGGGGGUUUAUAUUCACCUUUUAGAAUGUUAGCAAUUUAAUGUAUCUAGCAACUGGAUAUUGCCCAUUAUAGCAGAUCAAAUAUUUUGCUUUUGAAUACAUGCAUUUUUUUGUA
Long non-coding RNA from Hibiscus syriacus, 1449 nucleotides. RefSeq lists it as uncharacterized. The record is from RefSeq and is a predicted model, not a curated record. The transcript is spliced from 5 exons. NCBI's taxonomy places the organism in Eukaryota, Viridiplantae, Streptophyta, Magnoliopsida, Malvales, Malvaceae.